Molecule: ribosomal RNA, 301 nt
Filed under: uncultured bacterium
Lineage: Bacteria
Description: partial 16S ribosomal RNA
Rfam family: Archaeal small subunit ribosomal RNA
Source: RNAcentral
CAGCAGCCGCGGUAACACCAGCAGCCCAAGUGGUGGUCGCGAUUAUUGGGCCUAAAGCGCUCGUAGCCGGGCCGGUAAGUCCCUUGUGAAAUCGGACGGCCUAACCGUUCGGCGUGCAAGGGAUACUGUCGGUCUUGAGGCCGGGAGACGUCCGAGGUACUCCGGGGGUAGCGGUGAAAUGUUCUGAUCCUCGGGGGACCACCGGUGGCGAAGGCGUUCGACGAGAACGGGCCUGACGGUGAGGGGCGAAGGCUAGGGGAGCAAACGGGAUUAGAGACCCGAGUAGUCCCUGUCUCUUAUU